UGACGCAUAAAACGCAUUACAUAACAAGGGCCGGGCAAGACCGGUCCCAGCCGCCGGUGUAACACGGGCGGCUAGAGUUGUAACCUAUAUUAUUGUGUAUAAAGUGUCUGUAGCCGGCCGGAUAAGUCUUUUGGGAUAUCCAACAGCUAAAGUGUUGGGCUUCCAGGAGAUACUCUUCGUCUAGACCCCGGGAGAGGUGAGAGGUAUUUCAGGGGUAGGGGAGAUAUCUUGUUAUCCGAGAAGGCCCCACAGUGGAGAAGGUGUCUCACCAGAACGUUCGUGACCACAAGGGAAGAAAGAUAGGCGCAAGAACCGGAUUAUAUACCCGGGUUGUUAUAGCUGUAAAAGAUACUCUAUAGGUGUCACGCAUGGCGACCGUGUUUGGUGCCGCAGGGAAGCCGUGAAGCGAGCCACCUGGGAAGUACGGCCGCAAGGCUGAAACUUAAAGGAAUUGGCGGGGGA
Molecule: ribosomal RNA, 462 nt
Filed under: uncultured archaeon
Lineage: Archaea
Description: bacterial SSU rRNA
Rfam family: Archaeal small subunit ribosomal RNA
Source: RNAcentral